CCGGCACGGGUGAGUAACGCGUAUGCAACCUACCUACUACAGGGGAAUAGCCCGAAGAAAUUCGGAUUAAUGCCGCAUAAUACAGGGGCACCGCAUGGUGAUAUUUGUUAAAGAUUAAUUGGUAGUAGAUGGGCAUGCGUUCCAUUAGCCAGUUGGUGAGGUAACGGCUCACCAAAGCAACGAUGGAUAGGGGAACUGAGAGGUUUAUCCCCCACACUGGUACUGAGACACGGACCAG
RNAcentral lists this ribosomal RNA (238 nucleotides) under uncultured bacterium. RNAcentral describes it as "partial 16S ribosomal RNA". It matches the Rfam family "Bacterial small subunit ribosomal RNA", at positions 100 to 334 of the family's 1533-position model. The record is from RNAcentral.